UGCCUUUACAAAGCUCUUUGAACCAUCAAGAAACCUUCCUUUUCCUCAGCACACCUAGCUUUUGAACAUCCUACAUUCUCUUCUACUUUUCAAAUGGAGUUAAGGUCCUCAGGGAUGACUCCACCUAUGUCUGAUUACUUCUGCAUUUUAGCUCCACGUAUCAUUAUGUAUAAUGUAAAAGUAUUCAUCAUAAUACAUAUUUGAAUUUUUCUUAAUUUCCUUGCUUGAUGUGUGUGUUUAGGAGCUGAGAGUGUGGGAGGGUAGGGAUUUGUGUUCAAAUUAGAUGUGUUUUCUUCUUUUUAAUGCCAAAUGAAGUGCUAGUGAUUGAAUUUUAUGUGAACUCACCAGACCAUGGCAACAUUUUCAAUAGAGAAUUUAUUUAAAGGGAAUAGAAAAGUGGCAUACCACUCUAAUUUUUAUUGUUUUUGUAUGUAUUAUUCAUAGGUAAAGAAACAGUCAAGGGAUUGAAAAGACAGUGUAAAUCAAAUAAUGAAGAAAUUCUGCAGUCACCAAAAGAAUUAUUAGCAAACUAGCAAAUUUCUUUCUAGUUAAAUAUUUUGGCACAACUGGGAAUUAAUAUUAAACACUUCUAAAUUUCUGUUCAGUGAUUAGCUAGUAUAACUUUCAGAUAGAACAGGUCUAUAAAUUUCUAAAUUUAAGUAGCUGUAUACCAUACUUAUGAUUUCCAUGAAGAGCUAAAACCACCUUUCUGAUGGUCUUAAUUACAGCCUCCUUUUCCAUUGUGCUGCUAUCAUAUUAUGCUUUACAUUUAUGUAGCAUCUGGUGUUUAGGAAGUUUUAUUGUUUUCCCACCACUUCUAUGCCUCUACACAAACUAUUGAGCAUUGUGUUGUAUAUGGCAGUGUAUUCCUACAGUUGGAGUAAGGUGUGUGUGUGUGUGUGUGUGUGCGUGUGUGUGUGUGUGUGUGUGUAAAUAGAACCCCAGAUUUUCUAAAUCCCAGCCAGGCAUAUCAGUUCUACAUAAAUUCUUUUAAAAUGGAAAGUAGCAAUUUUUUAAAGGAAAAAGCUAAUGUGAAAAUUGUAGCAUAGUGAUAAUAUUAAGAGAGGGUACAGUCAAGAUUUUUGAAAAUUAACUCUAUAUUAUAUAGCAGACUUUUUUGAUUUGGUCAGCAAAUGAUGGCUUCUCAUGUUCUCCAGAGAGAAGCAUCCAUUUAUUUUAUCUGUGUGUUUAAGAUAAUUCUUACUCCUUCCUUUACUUAAUUGAAAGUAAAGUUUAAUUCAUUUUUUGCAUUCUAUUCAUAAAUAUGACCAAAUACAAUUUAGAAUAUAUAUAUAUAUACUGUAUUUGUAUUAGUACACAUGUAUUUUCUGUCUUGGUAGAUUUGGGUAUGGUUUCAUAUAUUAGGGAAUUUAUAAAUGGAAUUUAUUAUAAUUCAUUUGAGUAAAGUAUUGAUGUUAAAAUCUAAUGUUGUUAUGAAUAUCUUCUUUGAGAGAUAUUGGAGACUUAUAGUGAAAUCAUCGUUUCACUAAGAUUUCUCUCCAAUAAGACAUUCACCAUUACUGGAAUUACAUAUUCUGUGAAUUUCAUUCCGUUGAUGUAAUUUUAAACCUCCAUUCUACUUCACUAUAAAUGGAAUUUCAUUAUAUCUGACUCCACAAUAAGUGAGUUACAGUAUCGUUGACAUUUAGUAGAAUUACAGAUCUUAGUGUCUUUGUAUACUCUGCAUUAAAAUGUAUUAUGUGUGCUUUCAAUUCUUUUUCAAAGAAACCACUAUUGAUUUACAUAGUUGUUGUGUAGAAGAAUUCUGUUAAACUCUAUUGCUUGAUUUCAUGGUGGCUUUUUUCUUCCUGAAAUCAUUUGAAAAUAUUUCUCAGUGUGUUUGCAACUCUUGGAUAAAAAGGAGAUAAAAUUUAUGGAUUAGAAAUAUAUUUAUGUGAGGUUUCUCUAACAGUAAGUCUUUAUAAAGCCUUUGUGGAUCUUAAGCUGCAAUUGUAGCUUUCUCUUAUAACUUUCUUUUAUUCUCUACUUUACUAUGAAAGCUAUCAUAGAAAAUUAAUUAUUUUACAUAGUGCUGAGAAUGCCUUUCUCUUUUAAAGAGUGAAAUUAAAAUAAUUCUUUUGUUUUAAGUCCAGGGAGGAAAGCCUAGGGAGAAUAGAGUCUUUUAUCUGGAUACAUGUUUCUCGGAUUUGAUGGCAGAGCUGUUGCUGUGGAGGACAGGGAAGCAGGGGGCUGGGCUGAAGGACAAAUGAACAAAUGGUUUGGGCAAAGACAAUGCAUUGGUUUUAAGAAGGCUGGUGUUGAGAUCUCACCUUUCACCCUAGAAAAUCUCAGAUAUAGACAUUCAGCUGCAGAUAACCCCCCCCCUUUUUUUUGGCUCAGAGGGGCACUUAGAGUGCCAGACCCAAAGGGGAAAUUGCCCUAGAGUAGUCCCAGAGCUGUUAAUUCUAGAACUGUUUUCUCAAGGGCCUGAGACUCAGAGAUGACCAGUGACUUGGACACCUGUACUCAGUCCAGUUUGAUGGGAAGAAGAUUUUAAAUUCAUCCAGGUCCAGAUUACCUGCUAUGUCUGCGCUUAAACCUUACCAUACCUCCUCUUCCUUUUGUACCUUCUGUUCUUUUUGCGGGGAGAGAGGGGUCACGGAGUUAGUAACUACCUCAGGAGACAGCUUUAUAUUUCAUCAUUAUGUCAGUCACAGCCUUAGUUUUUCAGCUUGGUUUGGGGGCAUCCUGUUUGUAACUUACAAUAAUAGAUUUGGAAUAGAGAUGCCCUUGACAACAGUUUCAAUGAGCAUUUUUAAUUCCUCAAUAGAGUAAUUUAGAGAACUGUGUUUCUUUGUCUCUAUCUCCCAAGAUAAGAGUAUCUGGAGGCCAGAUUUUGUGCUUAGCAUUAUUGCCAGGUCAGAAACUAGGCAUAUUAACAUGAAAUAUGUUGUUCUGCAUCUAGAAGCCAGAAUGUAAUAAGCAUUGUUAAUUUAGUUAAAGAAAAAGACAGCUGUUUAAGAUUAGCCUUCUUGUGUAUGUGUGGGAGUUAAGAGAAUAAUGUCUCUUUCCCAAGAUGUGUUUUUCUUUUGUUUAUAUGCAGAUUUUAAUUGAUGAAGGAAUUAAUGAACUAAGUGAAAUAAUAACUAUUUUAUACUGUUUGUUAGAAAUUGGUUGGCAGGUACUCCUCUGAAUGGUAUAUAAAGUUCUAGAAAUCAGAUAACUUCCAAAAAUUCUCUAUAGUGUGCAUUAUAUUCUGGGUUAUGUUUUCCUGUAGUAUAACUAUUAAGCCAGAUAAAGCAACUUUUAUUCAUGGUAACGAUUAUUUAGAACUCUGGCCGAGAUGAUGUCUCGCACUUAAAACAAUGUUGUUUUCUGAUAUGUAUUUUAAUAAUUAUCUACAUGACACGCAUUUAUGUUGUUGUGUAUAAUGAGAUUUCUUUGGAAAAUAUAGGUUCUAUGUUGAAUUUAAAACUCUUAUAUCCAUUUAGCUUUCACAAGCUUUAACUGUUUUUCUGUUUUAUCAAUUACGUGCAAGGUAUUUCAUUCACCUGUUUCUACAGUUCUUGAGAUCGCUGAGGGCUUGUAUUAUUGUUUCCAUUCUAGAGGCUGAGCAAAUGAGGCUCAUAUGGGUUGUAAAAUAUUAUAUGUCAUAAAGACACCACCUCUUUUUUAAACAACUUUUUUGAAGUAUAAUUUGCAUACAAAGUAAAAUUCUCAAAUAAGGUUACCUUUAGAUGAUGAUUGACAAAUAGAUACACCCAUAUAACUAUCACCCCAGUCAAGAAGUAGAACAGUCCACUUUCCAAGAAAGACCCUCCUUGCCUUUUGCAGUCUCCUUCUAUACCCCCAACUUCUUAUCUGGUUAGUAGUUUCAUCUGUUCUAGAAUUUCCUUUAUAUGAAUCACCAAUUUUAUGUACUUUUUUGUGUCUGCCUCCUUUUGUUCAGCCUAAUGUCUAUGAAAGCCAUCCAUAUUUUUGUGUUCAUCAGUAUUUUGUUCCUAUUAACUGCUAAGAAUUUCCAAUAUAUGAAUAUAUCUCAGUUUUAAAUGUAACACCUGUUGGAGUUCUCUUGUGGCACAUUGUCACUGCAGCAGUUCGGGUUGCU
Molecule: long non-coding RNA, 4048 nt
Filed under: Sus scrofa (pig)
Lineage: Eukaryota; Metazoa; Chordata; Mammalia; Artiodactyla; Suidae
Description: lncRNA (ENSSSCG00015013722.1)
Source: RNAcentral